UCCGUAGGCGGGCAAUUAAGUCAGAGGUGAAAUCCCACAGCUCAACUGUGGAACUGCCUUUGAUACUGGUUGUCUUGAGUUACAGUGAAGUAGAUAGAAUAUGUAGUAUAGCGGUGAAAUGCAUAGAUAUUACAUAGAAUACCGAUUGCGAAGGCAGUCUACUAACUGUAUACUGACGCUAAUGGACGAAAGCGUGGGGAGCGAACAGGAUUAGAUACCCUGGUAGUCC
RNAcentral lists this ribosomal RNA (229 nucleotides) under uncultured bacterium. RNAcentral describes it as "partial 16S ribosomal RNA". It matches the Rfam family "Bacterial small subunit ribosomal RNA", at positions 568 to 796 of the family's 1533-position model. The record is from RNAcentral.